UACGGAGUUAAAAAUUUUAUUAUCGAAUAAUCCAUUUAACUUGAAUUCCUGAUCUAAAAAAUAUUUAUAAUACUGCUACUUUGCUUUGAAACACUUAUUGCCAUUAACAAUUAAUUGCAUUUAAUUAAUUUAUGAUAUAUAUUUUAAAAAAAUUGAACCAACAAUAAUAUCCUUUAUUUUUUACCUUAUUAUUAAAUUAGUGUUUAAAAAUAUUUAUAAUUUAAAAAUAAUUCGUGAAAAUUUUAUUGUUUCUAAAAAUAGAAUUAUAAAAUGAAUAAAAGUAUAAGCAGAUUUGUAAUACCCAAUUAUUGCCCGGGGCCCAAAAUCCUAAAGCCCAAUGAACCAAUGAACCAAUGAACCAAACCCUAACCCACUAGCCCAAAAUAUUGAACAGGAGCAGAAAAUUGGAACCCUAGUAGCAGUUUUUUUUCCCUUCCUCGGCGCCGCAGAUCGCACCGCUCGUCCACACGUCUCUCGCCCAUCCGCACGUCACACGCUGCGCACGUUCUCUUCCAGUAUGCACCUGCAAUGAACCACCAACAACGGUAAUAGAAGGGAGCACUAGAAUAACAGAGAAAAGGGCAAAAGAGAAAAGGGGGGGGGGAAUAGUUUUCGGUAAUAUUUGGGGGCGAUAUAAAAACCAAUUACAGCAUUUGUAAUGGGGGGUUAGACGAUCCUUGUAUUGAAAAUACUGAAAUACGAAAAUAAAGAAAAAAUUUGAGAGGUGAUUAAUUUGCUCCGUUUUUUCUUUUUCUUUUUGCAGUUUUUUUUUCCUUCAUUUGUUUUCUGGCUUGUUUCUUAAAAUAAAUAAAUGAAAAAAGAAUAGAGGAGGUUCUUACCAGCAGAGGCGCGCCGUCGGCAUCGUCUCGUUUUGUCCAAAUCGAAGUUAAAGGGGAGGGGGGUUUUGGCGUGAAGAGUUGGGAAGAAAUGAAACAGUUUUUGCGGCUAUUGCUGCUGCAGAAUAGCGUUUAAAUUUGAGAUUGAAAAGGGUUUUAAGCACUGAUGGGGUAUUUGCGAUUUUAAUCCUUCCAUUUUAUCCCAUCAUUUCAAAAUCAUUGUUGUUUGUUUUCAAAGUUUUCCAUGA
Molecule: long non-coding RNA, 1084 nt
Filed under: Gossypium barbadense (sea-island cotton)
Lineage: Eukaryota; Viridiplantae; Streptophyta; Magnoliopsida; Malvales; Malvaceae
Description: long non-coding RNA (GBAR_LNC014558)
Source: RNAcentral